CCUACGGGAGGCAGCAGUGGGGAAUUUUGGACAAUGGGCGAAAGCCUGAUCCAGCAAUGCCGCGUGUGUGAAGAAGGCCUUCGGGUUGUAAAGCACUUUUGUCCGGAAAGAAAUCCUUGGCUCUAAUACAGUCGGGGGAUGACGGUACCGGAAGAAUAAGCACCGGCUAACUACGUGCCAGCAGCCGCGGUAAUACGUAGGGUGCGAGCGUUAAUCGGAAUUACUGGGCGUAAAGCGUGCGCAGGCGGUUUGCUAAGACCGAUGUGAAAUCCCCGGGCUCAACCUGGGAACUGCAUUGGUGACUGGCAGGCUAGAGUAUGGCAGAGGGGGGUAGAAUUCCACGUGUAGCAGUGAAAUGCGUAGAGAUGUGGAGGAAUACCGAUGGCGAAGGCAGCCCCCUGGGCCAAUACUGACGCUCAUGCACGAAAGCGUGGGGAGCAAACAGGAUUAGAUACCCUGGUAGUCCACGCCCUAAACGAUGUCAACUAGUUGUUGGGGAUUCAUUUCCUUAGUAACGUAGCUAACGCGUGAAGUUGACCGCCUGGGGAGUACGGUCGCAAGAUUAAAACUCAAA
RNAcentral lists this ribosomal RNA (574 nucleotides) under uncultured marine bacterium. Its description in RNAcentral is "bacterial SSU rRNA". It matches the Rfam family "Bacterial small subunit ribosomal RNA", at positions 338 to 905 of the family's 1533-position model. The record is from RNAcentral.